Silurus meridionalis is the source of this 496-nucleotide long non-coding RNA. RefSeq lists it as uncharacterized. The transcript is spliced from 3 exons. The record is from RefSeq and is a predicted model, not a curated record. NCBI's taxonomy places the organism in Eukaryota, Metazoa, Chordata, Actinopteri, Siluriformes, Siluridae.
GCAGUUGCUCAAGGUGUCAGUGUGUGUGUUUUUCCCUUAUUUGAAGAGCAGCUUGCUCUUACACACAAAUACAUACAGACAUAUAAUACAAAACAAAAACAGUUCAAAACUGAUUUCAGCCACGUACUGAGUCGAAGUUUUCUGUCUUUGUUGCGGUUGUGUGGAUUCAGGCACUGCUGGUGAGGAACUGGAAUGCUUUCACCUGGCCGGCUGCAAGCGGCGUUUUUUUCCAAGAAGAUAGCGGGAACACGUGCGGCUGUUUCACGCGGCUUACCACGGCCUAUUGUAUCUGGUGAACAAAUUCCCAAAUUUCAAGUUGAUGUAGAGUAUAGACUACGCCAAGGUAACCUGCAGUAUCUCAGGGAUGCAUCCUUUCUUAAAGUCACAAAAGAACUAAAGCAUGACAUACUCGAGAAAUUGGCUGAGACCAUGUAUGCAUUUAAAGCAUACCCAACGAAAGAAGAUUUUGAGACUGUUGCUAAGGCUUUAGUGCAAA